This 428-nucleotide ribosomal RNA is filed under the name uncultured prokaryote. RNAcentral describes it as "bacterial SSU rRNA". It matches the Rfam family "Bacterial small subunit ribosomal RNA", at positions 355 to 774 of the family's 1533-position model. The record is from RNAcentral.
UGGGGAAUAUUGGACAAUGGGGGGAACCCUGAUCCAGCCAUGCCGCGUGUGUGAAGAAGGCCUUUUGGUUGUAAAGCACUUUAAGCGAGGAGGAGGCUACUUGGAUUAAUACUCUAGGAUAGUGGACGUUACUCGCAGAAUAAGCACCGGCUAACUCUGUGCCAGCAGCCGCGAUAAUACAGAGGGUGCGAGCGUUAAUCGGAUUUACUGGGCGUAAAGCGUGCGUAGGCGGCUUCUUAAGUCGGAUGUGAAAUCCCUGAGCUUAACUUAGGAAUUGCAUUCGAUACUGGGAAGCUAGAGUAUGGGAGAGGAUGGUAGAAUUCCAGGUGUAGCGGUGAAAUGCGUAGAGAUCUGGAGGAAUACCGAUGGCGAAGGCAGCCAUCUGGCCUAAUACUGACGCUGAGGUACGAAAGCAUGGGGAGCAAACA